CCUACGAGUGGCAGCAGUGAGGCAUAUUGAUCAAUGGACGAGAGUCUGAACCAGCCAAGUAGCGUGAAGGAUGACUGCCCUAUGGGUUGUAAACUUCUUUUAUAUGGGAAUAAAACGUUCCACGUGUGGGAUUUUGUAUGUACCAUAUGAAUAAGGAUCGGCUAACUCCGUGCCAGCAGCCGCGGUAAUACGGAGGAUCCGAGCGUUAUCCGGAUUUAUUGGGUUUAAAGGGAGCGUAGGUGGAUUGUUAAGUCAGUUGUGAAAGUUUGCGGCUCAACCGUAAAAUUGCAGUUGAUACUGGCAGUCUGGAGUACAGUAGAGGUGGGCGGAAUGCGUGGUGUAGCGGUGAGAUGCUUAGAUAUCACGAAGAACUCCGAUUGCGAAGGCAGUUCACUGGACUGCAACUGACACUGAGGCUCGAAAUUGUGGGUAUCAAACAGGAUUAGAUACCCCUGUAGUC
RNAcentral lists this ribosomal RNA (460 nucleotides) under uncultured bacterium. RNAcentral describes it as "partial 16S ribosomal RNA". It matches the Rfam family "Bacterial small subunit ribosomal RNA", at positions 338 to 795 of the family's 1533-position model. The record is from RNAcentral.